RNAcentral lists this ribosomal RNA (327 nucleotides) under uncultured prokaryote. Its description in RNAcentral is "bacterial SSU rRNA". It matches the Rfam family "Bacterial small subunit ribosomal RNA", at positions 26 to 352 of the family's 1533-position model. The record is from RNAcentral.
AGAUUGAACGCUGGUCGGCAUGCCUAACACAUGCAAGUCGAGCGGGCAGCGCGGGGGGCAACCCUGGCGGCGAGCGGCGGACGGGUGAGUAAGGCAUCGGAAUCUGCCCUGAUGUGGGGGAUAACGUAGGGAAACUUACGCUAAUACCGCAUACGACCGAGAGGUGAAAGCGGGGGACCGAAAGGCCUCGCGCAGCAGGAUGAGCCGAUGUCCGAUUAGCUAGUUGGUAGGGUUAAUGGCCUACCAAGGCGACGAUCCGUAGCUGGUCUGAGAGGACGACCAGCCACACUGGGACUGAGACACGGCCCAGACUCCUACGGGAGCAGC